AUCUUGCGACGAGUUCCGAAUAGAACGAAACGCGCGUCCUGGAU
RNAcentral lists this non-coding RNA (44 nucleotides) under Schistosoma mansoni. Lineage: Eukaryota; Metazoa; Platyhelminthes; Trematoda; Strigeidida; Schistosomatidae. The record is from RNAcentral.